CCCAACAAACUCCCACCAUUAGUUACUAGUUCACGUGGCCCACGGCCCUUUUAAACUAGGCCCAUAUGAAUCCACGUCAGCAAAUCAGAUUCUCCCUCAGCCUCAUUCUGCCACGUCAUACCCCCAAAACAAAAAUAUCCUCUUGUAUCAACCACAGGAAACAGCUGCCCACUAAAACUGCGUCGUUUCGAUGUCCAUUGCUGAAUUCUCUUCUUUGAG
This 219-nucleotide long non-coding RNA is filed under the name Solanum tuberosum (potato). RNAcentral describes it as "long non-coding RNA (STUB_LNC011209)". The record is from RNAcentral. Lineage: Eukaryota; Viridiplantae; Streptophyta; Magnoliopsida; Solanales; Solanaceae.